GACGAACGCUGGCGGCGUGCUUAACACAUGCAAGUCGAGCGGUAAGGCCCUUCGGGGUACACGAGCGGCGAACGGGUGAGUAACACGUGGGUGACCUGCCUCUAGCUCUGGGAUAAGCCUGGGAAACUGGGUCUAAUACCGGAUAUGACUCCACGGCGCAUGUUGUGGGGUGGAAAGCCUUGUGUGGCUAGAGAUGGGCCCGCGGCCUAUCAGCUUGUUGGUGGGGUGAUGGCCACCAAGGCGACGACGGGUAGCCGGCCUGAGAGGGCGACCGGCCACACUGGGACUGAGACACGGCCCAGACUCCUACGGGAGGCAGCAGUGGGGAAUCUCGCGCAAUGGGCGAAAGCCUGACGCAGCGACGCCGCGUGAGGGAUGACGGCCUGGUGUAA
This 392-nucleotide ribosomal RNA is filed under the name uncultured bacterium. Its description in RNAcentral is "bacterial SSU rRNA". It matches the Rfam family "Bacterial small subunit ribosomal RNA", at positions 28 to 428 of the family's 1533-position model. The record is from RNAcentral.